This 252-nucleotide ribosomal RNA is filed under the name uncultured bacterium. Its description in RNAcentral is "partial 16S ribosomal RNA". It matches the Rfam family "Bacterial small subunit ribosomal RNA", at positions 524 to 776 of the family's 1533-position model. The record is from RNAcentral.
UACGUAGGUCCCGAGUGUUGUCCGGAUUUAUUGGGCGUAAAGCGAGCGCAGGUGGUUUAUUAAGUCUGGUGUAAAAGGCAGUGGCUCAACCAUUGUAUGCAUUGGAAACUGGUAGACUUGAGUGCAGGAGAGGAGAGUGGAAUUCCAUGUGUAGCGGUGAAAUGCGUAGAUAUAUGGAGGAACACCGGUGGCGGAAGCGGCUCUCUGGCCUGUAACUGACACUGAGGCUCGAAAGCGUGGGGAGCAAACAGG